This 433-nucleotide ribosomal RNA is filed under the name uncultured bacterium. RNAcentral describes it as "partial 16S ribosomal RNA". It matches the Rfam family "Bacterial small subunit ribosomal RNA", at positions 29 to 507 of the family's 1533-position model. The record is from RNAcentral.
AACGAACGCUGGCGGCAUGCCUAACACAUGCAAGUCGAACGAGACCUUCGGGUCUAGUGGCGCACGGGUGCGUAACGCGUGGGAACCUGCCCUUAGGUUCGGAAUAACUCCCCGAAAGGGGUGCUAAUACCGGAUAAUGUCUUCGGACCAAAGAUUUAUCGCCUUUGGAUGGGCCCGCGUUGGAUUAGCUAGUUGGUAGGGUAAAAGCCUACCAAGGCGACGAUCCAUAGCUGGUCUGAGAGGAUGAUCAGCCACACUGGGACUGAGACACGGCCCAGACUCCUACGGGAGGCAGCAGUGGGGAAUAUUGGACAAUGGGCGAAAGCCUGAUCCAGCAAAGCCGCGUGAGUGAUGAAGGCCUUAGGGUUGUAAAGCUCUUUUAACCGGGAUGAUAAUGACAGUACCGGGAGAAUAAGCUCCGGCUAACUCCGUG